This 85-nucleotide transfer RNA is filed under the name Rhodosalinus sediminis. Its description in RNAcentral is "tRNA-Leu". It matches the Rfam family "tRNA". From Rfam's summary of the family: Transfer RNA (tRNA) molecules are approximately 80 nucleotides in length. Their secondary structure includes four short double-helical elements and three loops (D, anti-codon, and T loops). The record is from RNAcentral. Lineage: Bacteria; Pseudomonadati; Pseudomonadota; Alphaproteobacteria; Rhodobacterales; Paracoccaceae.
GCCCAAGUGGCGGAACGGUAGACGCAGGGGAUUCAAAAUCCCCCGGCCUUUGGCCGUGUGAGUUCGAAUCUCACCUUGGGCACCA